AUUGCCGUCUCCAUCUCCGUUCGCGAAGCAAAACCGCCGCCGCUCGCCGAACCCAACCGCCACCCUCUCUUUUCUUCUUCAGAUCUAAACCGUCGCGCCCAUCCGCCUGUAACCGUCGUGCCUCUCCGCUCACAACCGUCGUGCCUCCCUCGCAAAGCAAAUCGUCGUCCAGAUCUGCCUCGCCGUGAACCAUUGGGCUCAUAUUUGGGUACAUCUUGAUUCAGUGAGCGAAUCCUUGAUUUUCCAAAAGGUUGAAGUGGACUUGAUUUUCCACUUCUUGGGAUUUGAUUCAUUGGAUUUAGUAGAUUGAAGAACUUGCAUAAAAGUGAGGAAAAGGAAAUAAAGGUGGCAAACCGGCGAGGGGCAGGAAGGAAGCGUGAUUGCCAUAGGAAAUGUGUUAUUUUGCUUCCGCUUAUGAUUUCUUUUAAGCAGGUUGGUAAUGUAGAAAGGAUACAUGUAUACUAUGCCCACGGACUAGAUAGCCCAACCUUUGUUCGCCGGUGUUAUUGGCUCCUAGAUAAGACCUUUGAACACAUUGUCCUUGUUCAUUACCGUGAAACACAAGAGUUUCAGAAUUUUCCA
Molecule: long non-coding RNA, 582 nt
Organism: Cucumis sativus (cucumber)
Lineage: Eukaryota; Viridiplantae; Streptophyta; Magnoliopsida; Cucurbitales; Cucurbitaceae
Exons: 7
Source: RefSeq, a predicted model, not a curated record